AAUAGAUACCCGGGUAGUCCACGCCGUAAACGAUGGAUACUAGCUGUUCGGUCGCAAGAUUGAGUGGCUAAGCGAAAGUGAUAAGUAUCCCACCUGGGAGUACGAACGCAAGUUUGAAACUCAAAGGAAUUGACGGGGGCCCGCACAAGCGGUGGAGCAUGUGGUUUAAUUCGAUGAUACGCGAGGAACCUUACCAAGGCUUAAAUGUAUAUUGACAGGACUGGAAACAGUUUUUUCUUCGGACAAUUUACAAGGUGCUGCAUGGUUGUCGUCAGCUCGUGCCGUGAGGUGUCAGGUUAAGUCCUAUAACGAGCGCAACCCCUGUUGUUAGUUGCCAGCGAGUCAAGUCGGGAACUCUAACAAGACUGCCAGUGUAAACUGUGAGGAAGGUGGGGAUGACGUCAAAUCAUCACGGCCCUUACGCCUUGGGCUACACACGUGCUACAAUGGCCGGUACAGAGAGCAGCCACUGCGCGAGCAGGAGCGAAUCUAUAAAACGCGUCCCGGUUCGGAUUGGAGGCUGCAAUUCGCCUCC
RNAcentral lists this ribosomal RNA (535 nucleotides) under uncultured bacterium. RNAcentral's name for it is "bacterial SSU rRNA". It matches the Rfam family "Bacterial small subunit ribosomal RNA", at positions 777 to 1319 of the family's 1533-position model. The record is from RNAcentral.